UCUUUAAUCUUUUUUUGUCAAGACUUUAACCCCAACCUUAAAAAUGAAAUAAACCCUUAAAUCACAAUGAAAAUACUUCUGUUGUCACAAUCAUGAGUUAGUCAAUUAUUCAGUUUAUCAAUUCACCUUUAUUUGUUUAGCACCUUUCACACAGAUGACAAAACUAAACAAGCAAAGAGAAAAAACUACGCUAAAACUAUGAUUAAAACUCAAAAACAUAUUUUAAAAAAAAGAUUUAACAUGGUAAUAAAAUGUGUUGUGUCCAGGGGAUGGAGGGAGUUUAUUGAAGUCUUCUUGGGCUCACAUGGGAAAUCAUUUAAAAUAUAAACUUGAUAUUCAGUCUAAGGAAACUGCAGAGCGACAGAAGAACCAACAAUAUCUCCUGUUUUCUCCUUUAAUGAGUUGAUUCUUCUUGUGCUUUCAGACCAAAGAACUACAGACUCUUCACAACCUGCUCAAACUCUUGGUACAGGACCUCACCACACGGGUCAAGAAGGUUGCUUUGUAGAACUGUUCCAGAAAACCUCACUAAACCACAUGGAGGGGCCUCAAGAUAGUCGUCCAAAUGAAACCAUACAAAAACCAAACUAGUACAACCUAAAUGCUAAAGUCUCCUGCAGCCUACCAGAGAACCUCUGAGAACAGAGAAUCAGGACAGGAACUCUUACCUUCUGGACAACCAACGAUGGUUCUCAAACAAGAAUACAGAAUGUGUCUGACCAAAAACCUCUGAAGACUCACUACAGCCAAGAUAAAGACACAACUCAGCUGUACCAAAUCCACUAAUCACUGCACACAUUAGCACCAUGUGCUAACUGUGGCUAAAGAACCACAUUUACCAAGACAACUAUCCAGUACAAAGCCCUAAAACACACCAAGAAACACAUUAAAGAUGAUUUUACUGCUGGAAGCUGCAAGCCAAUGCCUAAAGAACAACCUAAAGCAAUGGAGCCAAACCCAGUUCAGUGGUGAACAGAAGCAGAGAAAAUGUUUGUCUGCAGCUAAAUAAAGCAGGAAGACACUGAGCUGCUCAGGUGUUCCUGAUAACACCAAGCUGCUCAGGUGUUCCUGAUAACACCAAGCAGCCACCUGGACAGCCAAUAGGAACACAGCUUCCUGGAAGUCCAGAGGGCUGGGUUAGUGAAGGAAAUUUGAUUUAAAAUUGAAGCAGAAAGUUAAUAAAUGAAGUUGAAAACCACCUUCUGAUACCUGAAAUCUCUGAGUUUUCACACAAAGAACACCUGAACAUGUCAAACUGGUUUCAUAGUAGAACCAUCAUUGUAAAAAUAUCAUAGUAUGGUGUGUUGCUCAAAAAACAUUAGGACCUGGCUGUCAGGGGACAAACAUGUAAGAAACAUGAGAACAGAGAGAACCCAACCAGUAGGUCACAGUUUAUCAUCCCCCAGUCAUCUCCUGAAGUCCAUAUGGUGAGAGACAUCAGUAUCUGGUUGUUCAUUUACCAGAGGAUGCUUAUAAUCAUGCUGAUGUGGUCUGUACUCUACAGUAUUUUAGUGACUCAAUAAAUGCCUAAGUUGUUUUUUUUUUUAAAUGCUUUUCAGUUUUUAAUAAACAUUUAAGAGCCUAUAUGUAAUCAAUAAAUGGCCUUUGCCUAUCUUAAGAAAAAUUCACUCAGAACUCUGAUAUGUUAACAGUACUAAAUAAAUCAAUAAAUACAUGCAUACACACAAAAAUAAGUUAACACAUUAACUGUGUUAAGAUAAGAUUUAGAUUUUAAAAAAAGUUGUUUAUGUUUUUGCAGAAUCCAGUAUUGCUCACUGGUUGGUCAUUACAUUUUGUUAGUUUGAUUUCACUGUUUAAAAUGAUGCCACCUCUUUUCAGACAGAACCUGUGAUAAUAAAACAAUACAAAAUUUUUAGUUCCGUGUUAAUAAAGCACUUAAAGCUUUAAGUAUGGCUAAAUGCUUUUUUCAAAAUUAAAUAUAUCACUCCUUAGGUGGUAGUGGCCCCAAGUUCAGUAAAGUUGGAAAGAUAUUCACAGAUUCAGACUUCCAGCAUCAAUAACUCAUUAGAUAUAGGUUGUCAAAACAUAAACGGUGCCUCUUUCCCAUUGUUGCAAGGCAGACAAUGUGCUACAAGCCCAGUUUUAUCAAAAGUAGCUGUCUUUCAAGCUACAGGAAUAACAUUGGUGUCUAUGGAGUGAACAGGGUCCGUCUGCAAUUUGCAAAAACGCUGCAACAGUAAAGAGAGACAAAUAUUCAAUAACUUCACUCUUAUACAUUGUAGUGUCACUAAAAUCACUGCAGCCUUCAACUGGCUCCUGUUGACAAAGUGUUUUAACAGAAAUGUAAAUGCUGUAAUUUGAUUCUUUUAAUAAACCAUGUAACUUGAAUGGA
Long non-coding RNA from Amphiprion ocellaris (clown anemonefish), 2353 nucleotides. RefSeq lists it as uncharacterized. The transcript is spliced from 2 exons. Lineage: Eukaryota; Metazoa; Chordata; Actinopteri; Pomacentridae. The record is from RefSeq and is a predicted model, not a curated record.